GAGUCUCUAUGGGCCCAUUAUUUUAUAAUAUUUGUCACACUAGUGAAUUUUUUACAAAUGGAAUCGAGAACCAUUAACCAAGUCAUAGCGAUUCGGUUCCGAUUAAUGACUAGAACCAAAAUUAAGUGAAAAAACUCGAAUUAACCUAGUUCAGUUGGUAAGUCGGUUAAUCGGUCUAAAAUUUCAGCCCUAAUUUCAUAUUUAUAUUAAAACAGAGCUAUAUCUAUAUGAGGUUUACCUUUAUUGAUGACUU
This 253-nucleotide long non-coding RNA is filed under the name Prunus persica (peach). RNAcentral's name for it is "long non-coding RNA (PPER_LNC003226)". The record is from RNAcentral. Lineage: Eukaryota; Viridiplantae; Streptophyta; Magnoliopsida; Rosales; Rosaceae.